This 498-nucleotide ribosomal RNA is filed under the name Triticum aestivum (bread wheat). Its description in RNAcentral is "partial small subunit ribosomal RNA". The record is from RNAcentral. Lineage: Eukaryota; Viridiplantae; Streptophyta; Magnoliopsida; Poales; Poaceae.
AUGUGGAAGACCAACAGGCCCUCGCAGAUAAGACCUUAUGACAAAAACAAGUACAUUGUUAGAUUCCCUCCCAACAAAAAGAUCAAGGACCUGGUAGAAAUUCCUUCAAUCAAUCUAAAGAAGGAAGGGGUAACAAUAUCUUUUGUUGAUUGGAAUGGAGAACACCCUGUCUAUGACAACCUGACUGAAACUUGGAUUGUUAUUGGAGGAUUUCCACCUAAAUGGCUAUCUUGGUCAACUAUUGCUCAAGUGGGCACAACACUUGGAGUGAUCGUCAACAUUGACUGGCAUACUAUUUUUAGAAGCUUUUAUGAGAAAGUCAGGAUCCUGGUAGCUGUCAGAGACCCUGUGAAGAUCCCUAGAGACAGGAUUGUAGAAAUCAAUCAUGAGUUGUACCUGCUGAAUUUUUCUGUGGAGAGGGAUGCUAAUAUUGGGAACACCUCUGACAAGCCAUCUGGACCUAAUGAUAAUCCUGAAGAUUCUAACAAAAAGAAUUAG